AGGUUCCAGAAAUUAGAGCAUGGACAUCUUUUAGGGGCCGUUCUCCUAAUUUACAUGUGGAUGCAUGUGGAGCCAGCAUUCCAGGCAGAGGAAACAGCAGAGGCAAAGGCCAUAAAAUACUAAUGGGCUUGAUUUGUUCAAGGAGCCUCAAGCAACCAACAUGGCUGGGCAGCAGAGCAUGGAAGAGGGAAACAGCUGACAGCAGAAGGGGUGGCUUUGAUCGGCUUUCAUCUCCCUCUCCAGGCCUCCCCAUAUCGCUCCACCUGGAAUAAAAAUAAAAGCUAAGAAAAACCCAUCUAUCGGCACAAGCACAGCAUCCAGACUAGUCACCUUGGCUUGUCACAGCCCUCGCCACACUGAGACAUAGACAUAGACAUUGAUAGAUAAAAACUUGAUUUUAUAAAAAUCAAAAGACAGUAAUAAUGAGGACAUUCAGAAAAUGGAGAACCAUUUAGCUGGAAUCUGAAAUAGUAUAAUACAGCAGCAGCAGUUACCAUCCUUUGAGUACAAAGUGUGAGAAUGCUGCUUGAAGUUGGAGAUUGGAGGCUUUGGGGAGCAGUUUCUUUACUUCGCUGACAUCCUGGACAUCACACAUGGGCCUUACAAAGUUCACACACAAGCCUCUGCAGCCUCCGUCUGCUUGUUCUGAGAUCAAACUGGGCGGCCUUCGGCUCUGGCUUUGAUUAGCUAUGCACAGCCUGACUGCCUGAAACUCAUGCAAUAGAGAUGAAUGGAAAAUGAGGCUUGUAAUUAUUUUCAAAAGACGUGCAGCCUGACUUCAGCCCAUGAAGACUUCCAGGCCCCUGGAAAAGCCUGGCUCUGUGGACAUGCGAGCUGUGCAGUCUCAUGGUGCCUCCGUUUAGAAGGGCCCCAUGUUAGGUUUAAUGCUUGGCUCUCUUGAAAUUCUCAAUAAGUUUUGAAUGAGGGGCCCCAUGUUUUCAUUUUGUGCUUGGUUCUGCUUUGAAACUGCCUAGAAACCAUCUUUCCCAUUUUCAUUCCAGUUGCUCAAACCCCUUUCUCAAACCUUUCAGAGAGGAAGGUAGCACAGGGGAUAUUCCUGGGACUGUGGUGUGGAGGGGUGUAGGUUGGUUACAGCAGCUCCUGGAUGGUUGAUGAUGAGGAUGCUGCAGAUAUGAGCAGGGCGUUAGCUGAGUGAGACUUCAGGAUAAACCAACCUGGAGGUCCAUCUUCCAAGGAUGGAGGUAUCAUUUUACCCGAGUAUGGAUAAUCUGGGGCAAAGAGCAGAAAUGUCCCUAGCCCCAAACCUAUCAACAGAGUAGCAAGGGCCCAGUGAUAACCUCAUCAAACCCAUCUUGAAGUGGGAUGGGCAGGGCCAAGAAAUAAAAGAGGAAGAAACUAACCAGGAGCCUCGGCCACACUCCAGGCUUGUUCUGUGUCCAGCCGGGCUCACUGCAACUUGGUUUUCAGGGUAUGAGCUGAGCGGCAGUACAACCUGUGUUGUUUAGCAACACAGUACCUUCCCCGUUUACUGCUGUAAGGUGUUAACGAGGAGGCAAAUGAAUUACAACUGACAGUUUACAAAGCAAAGGGGUCCAGGCAUGGUGGCUCACACUUCUAAUCCCAGCACUUUGGGAAGCCAAGGUGGGAGGAUCGCUUGAGUCCAGGCAUUUGAGAUCAGCCUGGGCAACAGAGUGAGGCCCCAUCUCUACACAAAAGAAAAACAACAACAACAACAACAACAACAAUUAGCCAGAUGUGGUGGUGCAUUACUGUGGUCCCAGCUACUCGGAAGGCUGAGGUGGGAGGAUUGCUUGAGCCAAGGAGUUUGAGGUUACAGUGAGCCGUGAUUGCGCCACUGCACUCCCACCUGGGUGAUAGAGAGAGAGAGAGAGAGAGACCCUGUCUCUAAAAUAAAAUAAAACAUACAAAGCAAAGAGAUGCCAUUGCUCUUGCUGCUUCGUCCCCACUCCUCUGAGAUGGAGGAAGAGUAGCCGCUGUUUUAAUAGACGGUCACUAAGAGUUAGCUGCUCCUGGGUGUCUAUCUUUGUGCACACGUGAUUUCUUUAAGGCUCUGAAUUUCCUAUAGUGCUCUGCACAGAGCAGUCUUUAGGAGAAGAGACAUCUGGAUAUCUAUGAAAUCAGUAUUAAAAAUAUAUUCUAGGUCACCCAAUUCCCAACCGUAGUUCCCAGGUAAGGUGUCAAGGGUGGAAACAUCCUGGUUGAUGUCAUACUGUCUGCAGUGAAUGGAGCUAGGACUUGGACCUGGCCUUUGGGCACAAAGGCCACUGCUCUUUCUCCAUCCCUCUUGACUGCUCAGACCUGAUCACCACUGAUGGAGUGUGUAUUGUUCCUUGCCAGUCUUUCUCAACACAGCCUACUUUGCAGUUUUGUUCAUUACUGUGUCUCCAGUGUCUGUCCCUUGAAAGAAGCUCAAGACAUUUUGAAUGGAUAAAUGAACAGAAGAGAAUACCUGUGUGUGAAUCUUGUUCCUGCCCUGUGCCAGCUGUGUGACCUUAGGUGAAUUAUUGCCCCCUCUGAGCUUCAGUUUCUUUAUUUCAAAACCACCAAGUGGCUGAGAAAAUAAACCCAGGCAAGAGAAGAAAACACCUGCCCUGCCAGGGGAGCUGAUGAAUAUCUCCUUCUUCCUUCUUUCUUUCUCCCAUUAAAUUUGACAGCCUCUGCUUUACUGCAGGGAGAGAGCCAGGAGCCUGUUUAGGCGGUAGUAGGACUCCUUUCCAUUCACUGCACUCCCAGCCUGAUCUCAGAGGCUCAUGUAGUCAGCAGAGCAAGAGAAAUGGGCUGGGAAACAGGCUGGAUUUAUUUCCUUCCUUUCCAGCAAAGUACUCUAAGGAUGUGCCCAUCCAUAACCUCGUUGCUCACAUGAAGACCGAGUGACGACUCAGAUGGAUGGAGAUGUAUGAACCUCUCUGCACAUGUGAAAAUCCAACCCUAAGCCAUGCAGGGGAAAUGGGCACCAAACUCAAGGGCAGGCACAUUCCAGAGCAUGGGGUCUGCGGGGGAUGGCCUCGCCCAACCCAGGCAUGGCUCACACACCAUUUAUUUCUUUACUGAGCUGGAAACUCAAAUCCAAAGUUUUCCCGAUGGCCCCGGAGGAAUAAAAGAAUUGGGGAGAGGGAAAAGGUGGAGAAGAAGGUGAAAGAAAUGAAGGAAAAGAAGGAAGUGAAGAAGAAAAAUAAGAGGGAAGAAAAAAAUGAGAAAGAAAGACACAUUUUAAACUAGAAUAAAGUAUAUACCCUUUCUUAAUUGACUGACCAUGAACCAAAUCAGAGCUUUCAAAGAGAAUCUGACCAAAUUGUUAUUUCAGUUUACUUUAGAGUGUGAUUUGAUGUAAAGAAGUCAGUCUGUCUUGCCCCACUAAGCCUUGUUUAAAUGAACUGCAAUGUUCUGUAAGUUUCUUCUGGAACCUUAGCCCACCCAUAUGCUACAAAUAUGUGUUACUAGGGUGAUCAGCCAUCCCAGUUUUCCUGACACUGAAAGGAGUCCGUGGAUGCAGGACUUUGGUGCUAAAACUGAGAAAGUUCUGGGUACACGAGGACAAACUUGUCACCCUAAUGACAAUGUCAUGGCUUGAACUAUGGCCCCUAGAAAGAUGUAUCUCAGUCCACAUCCCUGGAAGGUGUGAAGGUCACCCUAUUUGAAAGAAGAUCUUUGCAGAUGUGUUUAAGUUAAGGAUUUUGAGAUGAGAUUAUCCUGGGUUACUCAGGUAGGUCCUAAAUUCAAUGGCAAGUGACUAUAUAAGGAAGAAGAGAAGACACACACAGACAGAAGGGAAGGCCACAUGAAGAGGGAUGCAGAGAUUGGAAUGAUUUGGCCAUAGCCAAGAGAUGCCUGAAGCCACCAGAAGCUGGAAAAAAAUAGAGAAGGAUUCUCCUCUAGAGCCUUCCGACAGACCAUAACCCGGCUAACAUCUUGAUUUGGGACUUAUGGCCUCCAGAACUGUGAGCACAUAAGUGUAUGUUGUUUUAAGCCACCAACUUUGUGGUGAUUUGUUGGAACAGCCCUAGGAAAGCGAUACAGGCAGUAAAGAAAUAAAAGGCAAGGUGGACAUAUCUGGAACUCUCAGGAUGCUUUCUGAUUUGCUCUAUCUCUAGCAAAGUUUCUAGAAUACAUUUCUGGAGAAGUAGAAGUAGCAUGCAUAAUUUUCUAAAAUUCUAAACACCACUCCCAAAACUUUCAUAUUUACUUAACUCCUGUAGGCAACGUGGCAUGUGGUCCUAGCAUCCCAGUUCCCUGGGAGAUGGCCCUCCUGGCCAGGGUGGUGCCUUUCUUUAGCUCCCAGGUCCUGCCCCCUGGAUAAAGGCUGUCUGCAUGUCAUGGUCCUAGAGCUGGGGGCAGGGAGGGCAUUUGCAAGGAGGGAGGCCUGUUAGAACUGUGAGCACAUCUCAGCACACAGAUGGGCAUCUCUAUUAGUCCAUUCUUGCACUGCUAUAAAGAAAUACCAGAGCCUGGGUAAUUUAUAAGGAAAAGAGGUUUAAUUGGCUCAUGGUUCUGCAGCUGAACAGGAAGCAUGGCUGGGAGGCCUCAGGAAACUUACAAUCAUGGGGGAAGGUGAAGGGGAAGCAGACACAUAUUACUUGGCUGGAGGAGAAGGAAGAGUGUGUGGGAAGGUGCUACACACUUUUAAACAACCAGAUCUCAUGAGAACUCUUUCACGAGAACAGCACUAGGGGGUUGAUGUAAACCAUUAGAAUCCACCCCUAUGAUCCAAUCACCUCCCACUAGAUCCCACCUCCAGCACUGGGGAUUUCAUUUCAACAUGAGAUUUGGGUGGGGACACAGAUCAGGGUAUAUCAGUAUCACAUCUGAUGUUGGAUGAGCAUCGCAUAGUAUAUCAGCGUCACAUCUCUGCUUGACACCCAGCGGGCACUGUGUUUUCUUAGAUUCUGUGUUUGUCUUUUGGCAUCCAUUAAUCACAGGGCCAAACUAAUGCCCAAAGUUGUUUAUGUCUCCCCUGCAAUCAGCUUUGGAGGGUGUUUGAAAAUCAUAUUACAAACUCUCCAACCAAGCCAGAGCACAACCCCCCAACUUCUUCCUUAUCUAACUCCCACACACCAAGCCAGUAUUUCGCCUGCCUCACAUCACCCGGGACCAGGGACAAGACAACUAAGACCUCUCCUGUAGCCCAGAGCCUGCAACAUUAUUCACAUCAGCCAAUCUCAAGCUGUUUCCCCUGCCCUACCCUGCCCUACCCUGCUUUCCCCUUGAGAAACACAAUAAAGGUUCCUGCCCAGACUUUUCUGUGGCUCCUUCCACUGACUCCUAGGUGGGCUGGUGUGCCCCUUUCUCUUGGGAAACGCAAGUAAAAUAUUCUUUUGAUGGCACCUGCUUCUCCCUGCUGUCACUCAGUCACUUCCAUAAAUUGAAAUCCAUUGGAUACAACUGGGACAGUUGGCAUCACAGGUGACUCAACAUUUGAUAGAGCUGCAUGCCCCUGGGCUGCUCUUGGCUUACUAACUGGCUUCGCCAACAAUGAGCACCCCUGGCUGUGGACAUACCUGCACUUUAGCGCCUCCACUCUAUGCUAUGUCUACCAUGUGCUGCCAUGAUGUUCCACCCUAAAUUGUAAGAGGACCUCAAAGGCACAUGCCUCCAUGGUACACCUCACUUUGUAUAGUUUAGUUUUUAGGAAGGCUAAAACCAUCAUCUUGGAUAUGCAACAAGAUCCACUGGGUCUGUUUGAUACCCAGGCACCCAGGAAGGAGGGAGUGCAUUGAUUGACCAGCAUACAAGGCUCCUCUCAAGGGAACAGGGAGAGGAUUCUUCCAGAAGGACUGUAUUGAAUCUGAUCCACAUGCCCAUCAAUGCCAAAGUCAGUGUAAGGCUCAUUCAGCCUGACUUGAGUUCUUUUCUCUGGGUAAGUGAAUUAUUGCACUAACCUGCCCUUUGAGAGAGCAUUCCUGGCAAAAUUCUAGGUGCAGUAUCCUCUGGUAAACCAUAGGGAUGCAACACCAAGUACUCCUCUCAUGGAAGCCAUUGGCAUCCAAAAAUUUUCAAGGACAAAUCUCUGUUGUUGCUUGCCUUGCUGCUGUUGCAAUUCGUCUCCUAACUUAGCAGGAUAUAAAAGAUCCCAUCCAUGGAGACAAGUGGCUAAAUAUUUAAUGGAAAAAGGAAAGAAGGAGCAUGUUGUUCCACUCCCCUUAAGACAUCUGAGGACGUUCCUCAGCUCAUGCAAGAUUGUAAAUCUCCUGACCAAUGUGUCCGGGCACUCCUGAGUGCUGCUACCUAAUCAACAUGCGAACAGCCUCCUUCUUAAGAGUAAAUUGUCACAAAAUCAGGAUGUGACAUCAUUGUUCUCUUGAAUGUGGACCCCAGACCUUCUGAGGUUGAUUGGGACACCCUAGAGAGGGAGGCUGCUGCUCACAGCAGAGGUCACUCAGGACUACCAGGAACUUAUCAGGUAAACACCCAAAGGAAAAAAAAUGUCUGGGGAAAGACAGGAGACAUAAAAGGGGGGAAAAGUGGGAGAGGGAAGGAUUUUAACCACUUAGAGAUACAAGCCAUUCUAAAAAGAUUUAAGAGAAAAAAAAAAAAGCCAGGGGUAGAAAAGAGACUGAUUAGGGUGGGUACAUAAUCAGUUGCAGGGGAGUGGCUGCUGCUAGAGGUCCUGUGUCACUUCCCUCACCCCCUUUUCUCUUAUCAGCCAGAGACAAAAAUAAAAAAUAAAAAAAAAUUAAAAAGCAGUUUCAGGUGGUCAAAAGCCUAAAACAAAACAAAAAUAACAAAUAAACAAGGAUAACCCUUAGAUACAGAGGGAGGAAAAAAUGUCAGAUUUCUUUUUUCUUUUUUUUUUUUUUUGAGAUGGAGCCAUACUCUGUUGCCCAUGCUGGAGUGCAGUGGCGCAAUCUUGGCUCACUGCAAUCUCCGCCUCCUAGAUUCAAGCAAUUCUCCUGCCUCGGCUUCCCAAGUAGCUGGGAUUACAGGUGUGCAUCACCACACCUGGUUAAUUUUUGUAUUUUUCGUAAGAGAUGGGGUUUCACCAUGUUGGCCAGGCCGGUGUCGAGCUCCCAAUCUCAGGUGAUCCACCUGCCUCAGCCUCCCAAAGUGCUGGGCUUACAGGCAUGAGCCACUGCAUCCCACAAAAUGUCAGAUUUCUAUCCCUGUCUGAUCCUCUCCCACCUCUGCUUGCUGCUUCUCUAGUGUGGAUAAAUAGGAGAUGCAGUGCUGCAUCUACAUACCACAGCUUCCAGCUCUGCAGGGAGAUACUGUUCAUUCAGGGACAGUGUAUUAACUACCCUACCAGGACACUGACUGUGAAGUCACUGUAAAUGGUUACUGUUGUGUAAAUGUGAGAAGAAGCUGGGCAUUAAUGUGCUGGGUGACUCUGAACCAGGCCCCCACCUUUCUGAACCUGUUUCCCAGAUCUGAGUCUUGGCUUGGCUUGGUCUAGAUACAAAUUCACAUGUUGUUGUUGUUAUUUCUAUUUUCCUUUAUUUUAUCAUAUUCAUUUAUUUAACACAGCACUCUCUCUUCAAAUAAAACUUUAGCAAGGGCCCAGGUAUAAAGCAACUGAAGCAGAACCUCUCUGAGUGGGCCCUCAUUCUUCUGUCCCCGUUGCUGGACACUGCUUAGGACCCCUGAGACAGAGAUUUAUAACAGAAAACCACCCUCAAGAGGGUGUGUCUCCUUGCUUUGCAGUUCAGAAUCACAGUCAUAUUGGGUCACUAUUUCUGAGUGUAUAUUUUUAAAGAUCAGAUCACAGCUGAGUGAUCUGAAGGGUAAUCACUCCCUGGCUUAAACCUUUCACCUAUGUUCCUUUGCUUAUUUUGUUAACUUCAGACCCUUCCUCCCAUGAGGCCCUGUACCUCUAUAGGAGCACUCAGGCACACCAGAAGACCCCUCUCCUCCUCUUCUGUGUCCUAGCCUGGUUGCCUCCUUUCUCUUCCUUGACUGAACCAGAUACUUCCCUGCUUCAAGGUCUUUUCCCUGAUUAUACCCACUUCCUGAAACGCUCUCUUGGAGCAAAUUCUUUGGCUGUCUCUUUCUACAGUGUCAGCUUAAAUGUCCCCUCCUCAGAGAAGCCUUCCUUGACCCCCAGUUUGAAGUGGCCACUCCUAUUCCCACUUCAGCUCACCUUUUGUCUCAUUUCAAUAACAGCAUAUGUUGAACCUAUGCAUUUGUUUGUUUAUUUAUCUAUUUACUGGUCUGUUUAUGGUCUCCUCUACCAAAAUGGUCAUACCAUGAAGGCAGGAACCAUGAAUGGCUGCCUCAUUAAAUUCCAUAUCCCCAGCACCUACAACAAUGCCUAACAUCUGAGGGCUCAAAAACUGUGUUGAAUAACUAAGAGAAUUAAUUAAUUAAUAAAUGAAUGAAUGCACUCUGGGUUUGAGAAGAGGAUUUUUUUUUUUAACUACUGCCCUUGGUAUCUGUGAAGCACAAUUUGAAAGCUCAGUAAUUUGUCAGUUGUCACAAACCCAACUCAGUGGUAGUAAUUCUUACAUUCAUGUAUAUUAACAAUAAGUACUUAUUCCUACAUUCAGGUCCAUAGGUCAAGCACGACUUGGCGGAUCCAGGCUGGGCUCUGCUGGGCAUGGCUGCAGGCUGUGGGUUGGGAUCAGGUCUGCUCCAUAUGUGUUUAUCUUGGGCAUAGUCUAAAGGGAGAGCAGCUCCUCUCUGGACACACUCCUCAUGGUGGAUCCCUGGGGACAAGAGCAAGCAAGCUUCAUGAGCACAUUUAAUGACUUUAGUCUCGUCACUUCCUCUGACACUCUGACCAUCCUUGGUCAAAGCAAGUCACACAGCCAAACCCACAUCAAUGGACCAGGAAGGCCCAUUAUCUGCUGAACAAUAACUCAAACUAUCACUAAACUUAUGACCACGAACAGUGAUUCAAGAAACCAAAGUUUAAUGCAGGAUUGUUUGUGAUCUAAGAGGCUGUCUGAACAGGGAUGGCUGAGAUUAUUAGAGAGAGAAAGAGAGAGAGAGAGAGAAAUUCUUGUAUCUGAAUUACUCUGAAGGAAAGGCUCUGCUGCUGGCAGUUAAUGCAAACACACCCACAGCCACUGCCAGAAGCCUCCAGUCUCAAUGUGAUGACAUAGUGAGCAAAGGAGCCUGGGGGUUUCUAGCCCAAUUCAGUGCUGGGAAGCAAGAGCUCACUCACUCUCCCAUCCCCCUUUCCCACUACCCACCCCUCCCCUCCUGCCAGCAAAUGGAGGCAGCACAUUUUCACUCCAAUUUCCACUUAAAGCUGCAGCUGCUGUCGCCGCCUGGGAACCCCUAUCUUUUUACAUGUUAUUGUGGAUCAGUUGCCCGCUGCUGCAAUAAAGAACUCUCAGUGGGUUGCCUGGAAUUUCUAACUCAGUGCCACAGAAAACCUGGUGGAUAAGGAAACAAGAGGCUGCGCUUCAGUGGUGGUAAGUGCUAGACUUAAGCAGGCAACCCUGGGUCCUAGCCUCUUCUGGUCAGUCCUCUCCCAGACAUCAGCUCCAGGAGGGAAUCUGCUUCCUCAGCCAUGAGGGCAAUGAGGACCCUCACCAUAGCUAUCUAUAUGGGAUCCUCCAGCAUCCUUUAGCCUCGAUGGCAAAACACUCACUGGCUGUUUUCAGUAAGUUUUAGAUUCCCAAUAUUGUUCUUGCAAUCGUGGGGUGGAGGACAGAAGGGUGGAUGGUCAGGUAUUAGAUCGAUCAAAUCAAAUUGCAGUACUCAGACCCUGGGGGUACACAAUGACUUUCUAAGGGUUCACAGGCAACAGGCCAUUUUGAGAGAAUCACUUUUCAGAUUCUCAACUGACAUGGGUACUCUGUGGGCUCUUCAUUUCCACAUCCUCUUUUGGUAACACUCUUCUCCCACUUUAUAAAACAAAGAUUGAUCAGUCAAUGUUCUGGCAGGAGACAGAUAGCGUACUUACAUUGGCUAAUUGGAGGAAAGUUUCAUAAAGGUAUUAUUUAAAACUUGUGAUCCGGAUGAAGGGAAAUAGCAAACAAUAGUGCCAGGCCCUGGCUAGUAACAGUGGGGCCCUGGGGAGGGUGAGGGGAAAGAGCCUUCUGGAAUCUGCAGACAAAAGGAGACUCUAGGCGGGGGCUGUCAGACAGGAGCUGUGACCUUCUGCAGUGGAGGCAGGCAGCCUGGGCUCCCCCACAGUAGGGAUAAAGAACCCCUACCUCACUCAUCUCUCAGUCUACCAUCUCUGCCUGUUCUCGCUAUCCCAUGGCAAAACCCAACUGUUACAGGAAAGGGGUCCCGGUCCAGACCCCAAGAGAGGGUUCUUGGAUCUUGCACAAGAAAGAAUUCAGGGUGAGUCCAUACAGUGAAGUGAAAGCAAGUUUAUUAGGAAAGUAAAGGAAUAAAAGAACGGCUACUUCAUAGAGCAAACCUGAGGGUGGCUGGCUGCCCAUUUUUAGGGUUAUUUCUUGGUGAUAUGCUAAACAAGGGGUGGAUUAUUCAUGCCUCCCCUUUUUAGACCAUACAGGGUAACCUCCUGACAUUGCCAUGGCAUUUGUAAACCAUCCUUGUGCUGAUGGGAGUGUAGCAGUGAGGAUGACCAGAGGUCACUCUCAUGGCCAUCUUGGUUUUGGUGGGUUUUGGCAGCCUUCUUUACUGCAACCUGUUUUAUCAGCAAGGUCUUUAUAGACUUGUAGAUACAGGCCAACUUCCUCUCUCAUCUUGUGACUUAGAAUGCCUAAUUGUCUGGGAAUGCAGCCCAGUAGGUCUUAGCCUUAUUUUACCCAGCCCCUACUCAAGAUGGAGUUGCUCUGGUUCACACGCCUCUGACACAACCACAAGCCAGAAAGCAAGGGAGCUCAUUUUGAUGGAAGGCAUUCAAACAAUUGCAUAACAUGUAACAGAAGCUCUUUAAUCUCCAUCUGUUUAUUUACGUGAACAAGAUUCACCCUGCUUACAGCAACAAAAUCAAAAUUUUUUCAAAAGGGGGAUAAUGUUGAGGCCGAAACCUGUCUCCUUAUGAUAGUAAGCAACAGUCAUCCACGAAUACAUGAAUUAAUUGAGAAAACAGCCCCACGGCUGUUAUGUUUCUCUGAUCAAUGGUGCACUACUCACUAUCGUUAAUGAUAACUAAAUUCAGAAUCACAUGUUUAACAUUUAAAGCUUUACAGGAACAGAACUCUGGAUAUUAUCCGUUUUUAAUUUAUACAUGUUUUUGUUGCAGUAUGAUCAAUACAAGACUUCCAAGCAUAAAAGUAAGAUACACUCCCAUCAAAGUUGGCUAGAGGAGUAGAAGUUCUAGGAGAAAAAGGCAAAAUUUCCAACAAUUAGAGCUGAGUUUUCAUGCAUUUUUAAAAUCAAUCGUGGUGGGUAUCAAUCAUUAUGGUAUUGAGUUUCCACUAGACACACGUUAAAAUUGAUGUAAUAGUCUUCUUUUAGAAUAUAAAUAUUCAGUAUUUCUGAUACAAUGAUUUAAACUUAUGAUUAAAAAAUAAGGUGUUAAAAAUGUGAGAAGGUACAUGGAUUUUUAAAUGGAGGAGAAAAUGGAAGGGAUGAGUGUGGAAAACCUAGUAGGGGCAGAUAUUUACAUGGGCUUCACUUGCUGUUCAUGUGGCUGGGACGUCAAGGGAUGAAAUAAGAUAAGAUUCUAGAAGGUGUCCUCGACAGCCCUCAUCGAGUGCCUGAUGACAAGGUAGUAAUGUGCCGUUCGAAGAGAAAAUUGCUGGGUGGUCAGAAUAGGCCUCCUAGAGCCAACUGGAGAUCCAGGGCUGGGCAGGCACAGAGGUGGAUUUGAAUAUGUCGGGAGGAAGCUGCCUGGACCUUUAGAAAGAGGAAAUUCACAAAGCCCUAAGAGGCUCUCAUUUUCAACAACAACAACAACAACAAAAACAAUAAUAACAUUGUUGUGAUUCAAUACUUAUUGAAUACUAUUACUUUCCAGGGACUGGGAUAAGCAGUAUAUAUUGAUGUCUACAUUGGUAUCUCACUCAACCUAAUCCUUAAAGAGAGAAUCUCUAUCAUGAUGGUUAUCAUCACCAACUUAUAGAUGAGGAAACUGGUUGCCUUGCCCAGAUCACUCACCAGCUGCUGAAUGGUAGAGCUAGAAUUUCAACAGUAAUCCUCAGUCCUCCAAUUCCAGCACCAUCCUUUAGUCACCGCACCGUAUUACUUGCCUCUCUUUUGUUUGGUUGGUUGAUCACUUAUAUAGUCAUCCAAUCUUUCUUUUGUGGCCACAGGUGUGUGAACCAGAGCGACUCCAUCUUGAAUAGCAACUCCAUCUUGAAUAGGGGCUGGGUAAAAUGAGGCUGAGACCUGCUGGGCUGUAUUCCCAGGAGGCCAGGCAUUCUUAGUCACAGGAUGUUUACUGUUAAGGGAACAGAAACAGACCCAGAACUUAACAGAUGCAGGAAAUGUUUUGACAUCCUGAUAUCUUAAGAACAAAAGCAGUCCUACUUUAAGAAUAAGUCUUGCUUUAAAAAUAGUAAUAUAGACUCUUGGGAAGGACAGUAGUUACACAACGAUUAGCAAUCCUUUAUCACAAACCCCUGUAGUGGAGCAUAUCUUCCCCAUGAUGUUUGUUAUCUUAUAUCUAAUCAAGCCUUGCACCUAAGGUGGGGGCAUUCCACCUCUUUCAGGAAUGUCCUGCUCUGUCUCUGGUACAGCCACUCUUUCAUUCCUUUACUUCCUUAAUAAACUUGCUUUCACUCUACUCUGUGGACUCACCCCAAAUUCUUUCUUGUGCGAGAUCCAAGAACCCUCUCUUGGGGUCUGGAUUGGAACCCCUUUCUGAUAACAAUAAGGCAAAUAAUCGUUGAGCACAGACUGUGUGCUGGGCACUUUGCAAGAUAGCUUUGUCGAUACAUCUUAAUGUUGGAGAGUCCUCAUCCGUACUUAUUUCCUUGUGGAAGCCUGCUUUAAUGCUGUUAAAUUCUUUCCUUCUGUCUUGGGAAGGAAGGCAACACGCCUUUCAGAGCCUUGGAAGAUGAGCCUUUUUCUCUUUGCUUUUCUUUCCCUCAUUCUCCAACUUCAGGGCCCAGCUCCCAAGCCCAGUCUACCCCGGCCAGUCCCUGAGUGUCUGCCCCCACUCAGAACCCUUUUCCACAUCACUCAGUCUCCAGCCCAUGGAGCUCUGGCCAAUCAGCACCCACGUGGAGACGUCUUUCUAAUCAGACUUUUCAGUGCAGCUACACAUUAACCUCAAGUCUCUCUUCCUCUGCUCAAAGAUUCUAGCUCAGUGCUGAGCAAAAUGGUCUCUGUGUUCAUUGAGAUUACAUUCUGCUGUGAGUUUCCAAAUAGGAAAAAAUGACAGUAUUAUAUUAAUAUCUUAAACAGGAUAAAAAUAUAUUUCUAUGUUCUAUAAAUGUGGACAGUCCAGGGCUGGUACAGUGGCUCCUGUGAUGUCGAGGAUCAGGCCCCUUCUAGCUUGCUCUGCAAUGCCCUGCAAUGCCCUGCAUGAGGCUUCUCACUCAUAGUUCAAGGUGUCUGCUCCAGAUCUGUCACCCAAGUCCAUGGGCCAGCCAGCAGAUGGAGGGAGGGGAUGCUCUGUCUCUUUAAAAUACUUAGAAUUUGAACACAGCACCUAGGUUUAUAUUCCACUAACUAGAAGUUGGUAAUCUGGUCACAAAUACCUACAAAGUCAGCUAAAAUGUGUUCUCAGUGGCUAGAUAAAGGUCUAGGAUUCUAUGACUAUAGACAAAAGAGAUGAAGAGAUAAUGGAUUUUUUUUUUUUUUUUUGAGACAGGGUCUUACUCUGUCACCCAGGCUGGAGUGCAGUGGUAUGAAGAUGACUCACUACAGCCUCUACCUUCCAGGCUCAAGCAAUCCUCCUGCCUCAGCCUCCUGAAUAGCUGGGACUGCAGGUGUGCGCUACCACGUCUGCCUAAUUUAAUUUUUGGAGAGACAGCAUCUCACCAUUUGCCCAGGCUGGUCUCGAACUCCUGGGCUCAAGCAACCUUUCCGCCUUGGCCUCCCAAAGGGCUGGGAUUACAGGUGUGAGCCACAGUGACCAGCCAAGAGAUUUUCAGGGACAAUCAGUAGGGUCCACCAGAGCAGCCAAUGCAUUCUGUUCACUUUACCCUGACAUUGUCCUCUACCCCUAGCCCUCUGGUCUCACUUCCCAUGGGUUUCAGGGACCAGAGCACAGAGUCUCUCUGUGAGCAGCCCUCCUCCCUAUCCCUCAGGAAAAUCCUAUCUUGGUAGUUACUAAUAUCAAUAUCAAGUAUUAUACAGAGACUUGUUCUCUUCCAACUUGUAACAUUUAGAAUUGGUGAGAACAUGGUCACAGAUGGGUUCUUCAUUGAUUUAUAAUCAAAUUCUCUUAUUGUCAAGCAAAAAUGACUGUUUUCUGCUCAGUCUGUCAGUUGCUGCAGGGAAGUGAUAAGGAAAGGCUCUUCUGUGUCAGUCACCUAAGUGGUGGCUACGCAGUGCCCACCACCUGUUUAGACGAGGAAGAGAUGAGCACCUGUCUCAGGGUCCUCUGUCGAGAGGGUCCACUCUAGCUAUUUAAGCAGAAAAGGAAUUUAGGAAAUGGCACUGGGGAGGUCACAGACUCUCCAGAAGAGACAGCAAAUCAGGAUUCUUGAAGUCUGUGCAGCUGGGAAUAAUGUCGGAACGACACCAUGGAACCCACCCUAGAGACCACAGAUGUGUGCUGCCACACUCAACUAACUUUUAAAUUAUUUAAAAUUUUUUGUAGAGAUGAGGUCUUGCCAUGUUGCCCAGGCUGGUCUCAAACUCCUGGGAUCAAGAGAUCCCGCCUUGGCCUCCAAAGUGCCAGAAUCUCAGUCUCUUCUAACUCUAGAAUUCUAUGACCUCUAGGACCAGCAUGUGGAGACCUGGAAAAGAUAGAUUUAGAAGCUGGCAAAAGAGCCAACUCUCUGAUUUCCUCUUGCGUUCAGAUUUCAUCCAACCAUCCAUCCCCCAGGAGACGCUCAUCAGUCCUUGAAGAAUGCACCUCCUGAUUACAAUCAGAUAUUUUCCAAGUGCCAGCUGGAGAUUAACUGAUGGGAAGUCUCAGGUCAUAGAGGAUAUUGGGCCACAUCUGUCACUCCAUGGGGAAUUGUCAUUUCUGCUCAGUACUGAGGAGCUACGACCUGGGGACAGAAAAACCGGAGGAAUUGCAAAUUUAAAACACACACAGGGAGCCUAACUGGUGGUAUCUGAAUUAGAGCACAUUUUGUCCCUAUAGUCCAAGUUGGAGGCACUGAUGAGCAGCCCAAUUUUGUAAGGGUCUCAAAUAUUUACUUAAAGAAUAGUAUAGUAUAAAUACCUGCAUUAAAUCCAAUUGCUGUCACUAUUAAAAAUGUCAUACGAUUGUUUAUUUCUACUGCUUGCUCAGAAAGCAACCCAUGCUUGACAAAGGCCUGCUAUUUAUAAGAAGGUGCACAGAAAUGAACAGUAUUAAAUUUGGUGCCUGUUUAUUCCUCCAAGCUACCCAUACACCCUGCUUUACACUGAAAUGCUUUCUCCAUGUUUAUCCACAUUGUUUCUUUCCAAGUAAAACUUAUUACACAGAUUCCUCGGGGUAUUUUUUUUCUUUUCUUGAUUCUGGUUAAAUAAACUAUUGAUUUUGUUUUCAAGGUAACUUAAGGGGGAGUAAUACAGUUCUAAUUUGAUAAGUACAAUUGUAAUGCAUUCAAAGUAAACACACUUUAGG
RNAcentral lists this long non-coding RNA (15514 nucleotides) under Homo sapiens (human). RNAcentral describes it as "HSALNT0268185". The record is from RNAcentral. Lineage: Eukaryota; Metazoa; Chordata; Mammalia; Primates; Hominidae.